RNAcentral lists this long non-coding RNA (3615 nucleotides) under Meleagris gallopavo (turkey). RNAcentral describes it as "lncRNA (ENSMGAG00000021119.1)". Lineage: Eukaryota; Metazoa; Chordata; Aves; Galliformes; Phasianidae. The record is from RNAcentral.
AUGUUCAUAACUCCUUUUCUCUUGAAAUGCUCCCAGGUUCAGACUGUAAACUUAAAUAUGUGUAGGAAUUCAGGUAUCUUCUUUUGCUGGUGCUGUGAGCUAAGAGUUCCUGUUCAAGAAAAAUGCAACAGAAAAGGAAGGAACAGAUACUUAUAUUUAAAUUUGUGUGACCAAAGAAGAUUCAAAAAGAGUCAGAUGUUGCAUGAAUUAAAGUGAAUUAAACCAGUUGCUACCUUGAUGUUCUGAACCAUCUAUCAGAAGACUGCAGCAAGAAUUGGUAAUCUCUGUGUGAGUACAGAUGUUCAUAUUAAUUUAGUAUGGACUGGCAAUUCAGGAACUCUUUGUGUGUGUUUCAGCCAUAUCUGCCUCAGAGGAAAACAGGCUAUACCUGACAGAGAGCUUUUGAACUAAAAGGAAACCUAAUCUUUUUUUUCUGCAUAUAUAUAUAUAUAUAUUUCCUUUGUUUUUCAGUUUUUUUCUGUGACUUCUGUAUCCAAGAAGCCAAGAUGUCAUCGCUGUUCUUUAGAUGGAAACAUUUUUAUUUCUGAUUUAUUUUGUACUGCUUUCCUUCAAACACUGUCCAACCUGUCCCCUUUUUUAACACCUUAGAACUCAUAAGGGGCGUGUUCAUUAUUGCUAUUACAAGAUGCUUGUUUUUUUUUUUUUUCUGUAAUUUCACCCUAACUUGGCAUUGUGGUCUCAGAUGCCAUUUUACUUGGCCCGUAAAUCAGUCCAUCUCUGUAGCAUGCAAAGCAACCACAAAUGCAAACUAAAUCGGAGCCUAACUUGAAAAGCACUUUUAGUGGCACGUUCCAAGGCUGUACUUUAUAGUAUUUAUGCAUGCUUUAUUCUGUCCAAGAGGAAAUGGUGAAAUAUGUGGAAUCAUGAUACAAGUAAGUACACAGACGAAGGAAAAGGAGGAGACAGUGUGAGAAUGCUCAUGUAUGUUAAUGAAGAACAGAGGGAUUUUAAAGGAAUCUGAGAACUCAGGGUUACAGCUAGUUGUCUGACACUUAAACUACAAAACCUUACUUUUUCAGACUUUAAGAGAAAGAUGUUUGAAGUAUUAGAUAUGCUUGUUCCUAGCAGUAACGUAUCCAAUGGUAUUAAAAAGAAAAAGCCAAAUGAGAGAUCAUGAAAAAAACAGCAUAGUAUUAUAUCUUUAACCAGUACACGUGUGACUGUAUUCAGUUGUUAUACAGAAAUUUAUAAUUGCAUUGCUCUCUUCUUAUACAGACAAAAUGUCUUUACAAAAGGCAAGUGAUUGAAAUGCUUGUAUCUUUUUGCCUAACAAAAUGCCAGAAGGAACUUGCUGCCCAAAGGCUCUUGAUUUAAUCCUAGCAUACCAUUGUUCUUUUGCUGUGUUAGGUACAGAAAAUAUGCCUUCUGUUAAUAAUAGGAAUGAGAAUCUGCAUAUUUCUCUUACGGCAUGAAAUUACAGCAUCACCACAGGUAAGGUGUUAGCCUCUGUAUCUUUUCUAAAUUAGCAAAGACUGUGAAGAAUGUUGUGCUGUCCUACAGUAGUUAAUGUGUCAUUUGAAUGAUGCAUACUUUCAGUAUGCAUCAGCAUCUGUUGUUGCAUUAAUAUUGUGUCUGUUUCAAGUGCUUUAGAAACAGUGCAUACAAAUGUUUUUUCUUCCUCUUGAAAAUGACAGUUUUCCCAACAGUUUUAAUAAGGGCUGAAAAACACGAAGUGCUUUAUCUCCUAUUUGCAGUACAUAAAACUGAAGAAGAGUGGCCAUACCUUCAAGUUACCUGAAUCUUUCAGACUUCCAGAUCUUCAAACUUCUCAUAGGGACUUUUUAUUCUUUAUUGUAUAGAAAAAAUUUAAGGUCAAAUGGCAUCGAUUUUUAAGUGGUCAAUUAAAACUAAUCUAGAACAGCAGUCGGUUUUAAUAUACUUUGUUUAUACUACAUUUUAUAAUGUCACAUAUUAAAGACUAGUAUCUGAAACUAAAGAAAGUGAUGUGAAAGAUGUUACCCAAGCACUAGUCUUGAAGAGUUGUACCUUCUUCUUUGAUUACCUCUCAGCCAACUGAAACAAACUAUUGCUUCCAAAUGCUUUUGUAAGCCACAGUAUCCAGGCUCUUUCUAAACUCAUCUCCUUUCAGCUCAGACAGGAGCACCUCUUCAUUUUAGUUUUACCUGUAAACAAACGGCACUACAGCUCAUAAAAAGAAGCACUCAAAGUGGCUUAUCUCAUGUCUCAAGGCUUACUAUUCCAAAGCAAUGAGCAACUUCUAUCGAUUCACUGCAGUCCUUUCAUGUUGGUCUCUGAGUCCUUCCAUGUUUUGGUCCCUGGUUGCUCUGUAAAGUCACAGAGGCUGUGUAAGUCUCCUCGCUUCCUGGCCUGAGUAAACACCAUCACUUCAUGCUGAUUUCACGCUGGGAGAAGAUUGAGAAAGGUGUAAUAUCCUCGUACCUAUUUCCCACAAAGAACUUGAGUCACUUGAACUCAACCGAAGUCAGUGGUGGAGCAUUUAAACCAGACAGCAAUUUAUAGUACCAGUGAUAGCCACAAACACUCAGUUUCAUAGGUCAGUCCUGAUGCAAUCAGCCCUUACCUCACUACCUCACUAUACAUACUUCUUCUGCCAUCUGUCCUCUUUGGUCAUCACAGCCUUUGAUCUGAUUGCAGUAAAAAGAAGUAAGAUGAAAAAAAACAACAGUGUGGUUUUCUGACCACUCUUCUAACUGUCUAGACUUCUGAGGCUGUCUCAUGGUGAGAAGGCAAUGUGUCCCUUGUUCAUCGUUCUCAUACACAUUAGGACAUGGGCAGAGAAGAUCAGGUCUGCAUCUGGUUUCAGUAUAGUGCCCCAUGCUCAUCUUAAAAUGUUGUUCUCUCUUGUUUCAGUCAUGUUAUCUCCUUUUUCUCCCUUCUGUCUCUUUAGUUUUUUCAGAACAUGACCUAAGGAAGAUCACCACCCCUAACUUAUUUAUAAUUCUGUCAAACUCUCCUUUUUCUGGACAAUCUCAGUAACCAUUUUAUGUGAGCAACUCACUUGCAACUUCAGUCUUUCAUGUCCCACUCCUAUUUUCUUGCUUUAGCUUGGACAUUCUUAGCUCAGUGUAGCUUUAGGAGAGAGCUGAUUCUCUUAAGCUUUUCUGCUGUUCUUCUGCCCUUGGGCACUCCAGAACACGUAAUCCUGCCUAUGACUCAGCACAAACAUCCGGCUGUCACGUUAACUCAGACUUACGUCCAGUUCUUCAGGCUUAGGUUACAUCUCUGCUAAAGGCUCCUUUCUGUAUAACAACUUCCACACAAUUAAAAACCCUUAUUCAGGUUCCUGUUACUUCACAGCCAGAGCUCUACUCCCUUCCUGAAGCCUGAAGAUGCAGUCCUGCCUUGCUCACAGCUAACUGUUAUUUUCCUGUCCCAUCACUCCUUUUAUACCCUUUUGAUGACUUCUCAUCUUCAGUUACAUUAAAAAUAAUCUAUUGCUUCCACUUUUCUGAUGUGUCUUAAUUGCUGAUAUAUGCCAGAUGGUGAAUGGACCAUCACCCAAAUCAUCACCUAAAAACUCCAUUGCAAAUCCUACAGUAAAGACAUAGACAAAGACCAUUGUCAACUUUGACAACCACUAGGCUCUCUCCUCUCUCCAGCAUCUCUUAUAUC